Molecule: ribosomal RNA, 466 nt
Filed under: uncultured bacterium
Lineage: Bacteria
Description: bacterial SSU rRNA
Rfam family: Bacterial small subunit ribosomal RNA
Source: RNAcentral
ACGAACGCUGGCGGCGUGCUUAACACAUGCAAGUCGAACGGUGACGAUCAAGCUUGCUUGGUCUGAUCAGUGGCGAACGGGUGAGUAACACGUGAGUAACCUGCCCCAGACUCUGGGAUAACCCCGGGAAACCGGAGCUAAUACCGGAUAUGACACCAGUCCGCAUGGGCAUGGUGUGGAAAGUUUUUCGGUCUGGGAUGGACUCGCGGCCUAUCAGCUUGUUGGUGAGGUAGUGGCUCACCAAGGCGACGACGGGUAGCCGGCCUGAGAGGGCGACCGGCCACACUGGGACUGAGACACGGCCCAGACUCCUACGGGAGGCAGCAGUGGGGAAUAUUGCACAAUGGGCGAAAGCCUGAUGCAGCGACGCCGCGUGAGGGAUGACGGCCUUCGGGUUGUAAACCUCUUUCAGCAGGGAAGAAGCGAAAGUGACGGUACCUGCAGAAGAAGCACCGGCUAACUACGU